Daucus carota subsp. sativus is the source of this 1700-nucleotide RNA transcript. RefSeq lists it as uncharacterized. The transcript has 14 exons. The record is from RefSeq and is a predicted model, not a curated record. Lineage: Eukaryota; Viridiplantae; Streptophyta; Magnoliopsida; Apiales; Apiaceae.
AAACACAUACCCACAUAUACGAGUGAGGUUACGCAUAUAACAAACUUCCCCCAAAACCAAAACCCUAGAAAACACACUCUUCGCCAUGGACGCACUGCGAAAGCAGCUGGAUGUGUUGAUGGGAGCGAAUCGAAACGGCGACGUUCGAGAAGUGAAUCGCAAGUAUUACGAUCGUGAUGUCUGUCGUCUCUACUUGGUCGGUCUUUGUCCUCACGAGCUCUUUCAACUCACUAAAAUGGACAUGGGACCUUGCUCAAAGGUGCACUCGCUACAAUUGAGGAAAGAAUAUGAAGAAUCCAGGGCAAAAGGUCAAGACAACUAUGAAAGGGAGCUGGAAGAUGUUAUUGAUAGACUUAUUGUUGAGUGUGAUAGAAAAAUUGCUAGAGCUCUUAAACGUCUAACUGAUGAGGAUGCUAAAGCAGCGAUUGCAAUCUCUGUCUCUGAAGUUACAACGACACCUGAGAUCCUUGAAAUGUCGAAAGAGAUAAAGGAGAAGCUCAAAGAAGCUGAUCAAUAUGAUCUUGAAGGCAAGACAGAUAUGAAGAUUCGAGCCUUAGAGGUUGUGGAAGAACUUAGAACUAAAAGAGCAGAUAAACAGUCAAUGCUACUGUUAGAUGCCUUCAACAAAGAUCGGGCUUCCUUGCCUCAGCCCCUUCCAAAUCCUCCUUCAUUGGCACCCUUACCUGUAGCUGUUCCUGAUGCCCGCACACAGGAGAUGAUUAAUGAGAAGCUUAAGAAAGCUGAAAUGCUUGGUGAGCAGGGUUUGGUUGAUGAGGCUCAGAAAGCAUUGGAAGAAGCAGAAGAACUCAAGAAGUUGCCCGGUCCUCGGCAAGAACCUGUUGUAGAUACCUCGAAGUACACAGCUGCUGAUGUGCGCAUUACGGAUCAGAAGUUGCGUGUCUGUGACAUAUGUGGAGCUUUCUUGAGUGUCUAUGACAGGCUUUUGGCCCAGUUUUACGAGGAUAAACUUAUGCAGCUAAAGAAUUGACCGUCGAUUGGCUGACCAUUUUGGAGGAAAGCUUCACCUUGGCUAUAUGCAAAUCCGUGAAAAGUUGGCUGAUCUAAAGGAUGAGAGAGACAAUAAAAGGAAGGCAUCAGAAGAACUGAGAAAAUCAAAAGAGCAGAGCAGGGAACGUGAUAGAGAAGGUAGCAGGGAUCGAGGAGGCAGUCGUGAAAGAGCAAGGGAUCAUGAUCGCAGGAGCAGAGACCGCGACAGGUAUGCUGACCGUGAUCAUGGGUAUGAUCGAGAACGUGAAAGAGAGAGGGACCGAUCCCGCAGCUACGAUUCAAGGAGUCGUCGUCGGUCACGUUCACGAUCAAGAGAGCGAGCUAGGGAUUAUGAUCGCCAUAGCAGGCGUCAUGAUCGAUACUAGCUGCCAUAUGAAGCUGAAGGGGUGGAUCAGGGAACAUGUCCUCCUGACGUAUCACUGAUGUUCCUAGAUCAUAUGUUAGGGAGAGCUGUUUGUUUUUUUUAAUCAAAGUUGACAUGGUAGUGGUUAUCCAUAUUUAAUCCUGUAAUAGUAUGGGAAACAAUAGUUUUCUUUGUUAUCUUGUUUCUUAAAAAAUUCAAAGUCUCUCCAUUUGGCAACGCUGAUUCAGAUUGUUUUGUGACCCUAGCAGCAAGGACCAAGGCAUAAAUACUCUUUUCUGAUAUGUUUUUGACAUAAUAUUAGUUAUUAAGUAUUUAGUUUCCAUCACAA